RNAcentral lists this transfer RNA (83 nucleotides) under Cercophora newfieldiana. It matches the Rfam family "tRNA". From Rfam's summary of the family: Transfer RNA (tRNA) molecules are approximately 80 nucleotides in length. Their secondary structure includes four short double-helical elements and three loops (D, anti-codon, and T loops). Lineage: Eukaryota; Fungi; Ascomycota; Sordariomycetes; Sordariales; Lasiosphaeriaceae. The record is from Rfam by way of RNAcentral.
UCUUCCGUAGUAUAGUGGUCAGUAUGUGAGCUUGUCAACCUCCGACUUCGCUCGAGACCCGGGUUCAAUUCCCGGCGGGAGAG